CUCCAAAAUGACACCAUUAUUUACCAUACAUUUUUAAUGGACCCAAAAUAAUCUGAAACACAACCAAAACAAACAGCAAAUGCAUCCAACAAGUACCGUAAAUUCCGGACUAUAAGCCGCAACUUUUUCCCACGCUUUGAACCUCGCGGCUUAAACAAUGACGCGGCUAAUAUAUGGAUUUUUCCCGCUUUCAAUUUUUUUUCCCCAAAAAACACAUUCUGUGACGUGCUCAGUUUUUUGGCGGCAUGAAGCUUUCAUUAGACCAAUGAAAUUGCCGAAUGGGUUAAGGUCAAACAGUGACGAGAGCGACAAUGAAAACGAUCCAAUAUCGGAUGAAGCAAUUCUGAGGCUAUUCAACUCCGACACCGAAGGAGAUGACUUCAGUGGUUUCAGUGCACAGGAGGAGGAAGAUAGUGACCAAUGACUUUCUUGGUAGGCUACUGUUUACUGCAAAUUUGUUAUUUUUUGUUACAAGCCGUGUUUCGUUAGAGCCUAUUUAUUUUUGUUACAAGCCGUGUUUUGUUAAAGCCUGUGUAAAGUUAAUUUGUUUCAAUGUACCGGUAGGCACCUGCGGCUUAUAGACAUGUGCGGCUUAUUUAUGUUGAAAAUAAUAAUGUUUUAAAAAUUCAGUGGGUGCAGCUUAUAUUCAGGUGCAUUACGAUAUGUAAAGUCACAAGCUUGAUGUAACUUUUUACUACGUUAAUACACGUAUAAAUGAAUUUGUCCCAAUACUUUUGCUCCACUAAAAUGGGGGGACUAUGUACAAAAAGUGCUAUAAUUUUUAAGCGGUUCACCCAAUAUGGAUGAAAAUACCCUCAAAGCUGACUCUCUGCACUUUAACCUGGUAGUCAUUGUAUCAUUUCAAAUCCAAGGUGCUGGAGUGCAGAGCCAAAACAACACCAAACGUGUCACUGUCCCAAUACUUGUGGAACUCACUGUAUUUCAUUUCUGAAACACAUUUAGGUUAAAAAAACAUCCACAAAGCAGUCUGUACACUUUGUUCCCACCAUUCCAGUGCCUGGCGUGGGUAUAGUUCUGUAUAUGCUGCUGUAAAGAGCAUCCUCACAACGGAUGCACCAAUCUAAAUUAACAAUUGAAAAGAAGGUACUCUACAUAACUGGUGCCCCCUGUGAGGACUAUUCCUUUUCACAGCUUUACUCUUUACUGUUUAAGAUGCUGCCGUCCCCUCUAGUCACCCUUUCUAUUUUAACUAUGGACAUACUCGUUUGGACGAGCUGCUUUACAUUUUCAAUGCGGAACACUGUAUUUUUCUUUCUGAUUUCAUCUUUCCCAUCCAAUUUUACAGUGUCAAUAACCCCCAGCCAUUUAAGCCUAAGGCAGUGGUUGGAAGAAUAUCCUUGAACAUCCAUAUGAUGCAUCAGCCUUUUCAAAUUUAAUGAGAGCAGGAGAGAGCUGAGUGACAGUAUCUGCAGGUGGGCAGGGAAACAAGAACUGGUGCUGAGAGCCUCUUUUAACACCCUGGUUGUGUGAAGUAGAAAACACCUCCUCUGGUGUGUCUUACAAUUGGGGAUAUCAUGUAAAUAUCAGAAAAGCUACUGUCUUUGAUAUCUACUCAUUCCAGUAAGUAAGUGCUAGCCAGCUUCAUUAUUAGUGCUGUGUGUCUCCCUAUGGGAGUGAUCUUGUAGUGGUUUUAUAUAGCAUCCCCAUCUGAAUCACACAACAGGGGGCUGAUGGGACAUGAAGGUGUAGUAGAUGGAUUUAUAACUCCAGGCUGUGGCACACAACUUGGCAUAGGUGGUGUGUGAGUUUUGGGAAGCUUACCGAUCAGUGAUUUCCAUAUGCGCAUUUUUGUGGAAUGGUUUCAUUUUAAUAAUUUGUUUCUCAAAAUCAUUAUCAGGUGUUUAAUUAUAUAAAUCAGAAUUUAAAUGAUAAAAAUCUAAAAGUUAAAAUGAACUAAUGCAAGCGCAACAGCCUGUGCCAUAUGGACACAUUGAUACACCGUGAGCCAUUGUCGGCUAAAGAAAUUAGCUUAUGCAAUGCAGCAUGCCUAUAACUUCCCUUGUCAACUAAGUAAAAAUACAUAAAGCCGACAAAUAAAAACAUUAGAAAAUAUCCUGAUGAAAAAAGAUCUUCUAUAUAUCACAUUGACUACAAAUGGCAAUUGGUUCAGAUUCUUUCAAUCGCAUUCAUCUCUCUAUUCCGCCUGUCUACCUCCCUUUCUGUCUGUGUUGACUUGAGCUAUCGCUGGUGAAUGUGCAACGUUGUAUCAAAUCAAUCAACAAGGUCCUGCCCGAAGCUGUUGCUAGUGAACUUGCAACUUAAUAUAAAGUGAGUCAGUCCCGAAGCUGUCUAGCGAACUUGCAACAUUGUAUCAAUUCUAUUCUGGGCCCUCAGAGUUUUACAUGCCAGUGAGCUCGGGACAGACACAGCUGUAUUUGUAAGGGAAUGUGCAAGAAUUGGUGGGAGACAGCUGAGAGCAUUCUGAAGAGACACACCUACUGUACGUACGUUUGCCACACACCUCUCUCCUUCUUUUUGUCUCAACAUUUUUUAUUAUACUCAAGACACGUUAUCUUUCAGAUGCUUUUCACUGACAGCUGCAACUCAAUAAUCAGCUAGGCCUAUUGCCGUGCUCCCUGCCCAAGUUGCGGCCUUCCCAACUGUAGACUAUAUGUGCUUGAGAUUUGAAACAAUCCACAGCUAUUUUUAAAAGAAGCAAAUUAUCCUCUGUGGCUAAGUCAUGCUCUCUGGUGUAGUACUUAGAAUAAUAUUUAAUUUAUUUCUGUAUAGACUGGGGUAAUUAUAUAAUUUUGGCAAAUGUAUUUCAAUUUACUUUAGGGGAAGCGUAGUUUAGCCUAUUGGACGCACCGCCUAUGCCUGGUGGUAACAAAAAGUGAGUGAUGCAACUCACUAUUUGCCAUUAAUAGCAUAGGAGAAGAAGGAGAUUGUGCAGUAGUGUUUUUUUUAAAUGAUUUAUUCUGUUUAUUUCCCCCAUAAUAGGUCUACUAGGGUGGAAUAAAUGUAUUUCUGAUUCAGGUGUGUUAAAUUAGUCUUAGAUUUUUUUUAACAACCUCCCCACAUAGUGAUAUUCAAACAUAAACCCUUAUUUGUUAAGUCCCUUGUUUAUAUGCAGUGUUUGAGAUCCUUCACUCCCCUGCUAAACUGAACAAAUAACAAAUCUUCGGAAACAUUAAAACCCCAGCUAAAUACUAACAUUUUCCCAAUAUUGUUUUGAUGUGAAAGAUACUUUAGGCUUGUCUUAGUUGUUAUAAAU
RNAcentral lists this long non-coding RNA (3235 nucleotides) under Salmo salar (Atlantic salmon). RNAcentral describes it as "lncRNA (ENSSSAG00000115415.1)". Lineage: Eukaryota; Metazoa; Chordata; Actinopteri; Salmoniformes; Salmonidae. The record is from RNAcentral.